Molecule: long non-coding RNA, 6012 nt
Filed under: Homo sapiens (human)
Lineage: Eukaryota; Metazoa; Chordata; Mammalia; Primates; Hominidae
Description: HSALNT0178222
Source: RNAcentral
GGGGAGGGUACUAAGUGAACAUGCUAUAGAAACUGCAGGCCUUUUGCAAGCGGCUGCAAUUCUCCCGCCCAGCCUACCACCACUGGACCUGUUCACCACCACUGGACCUGUUCUCUUGUCCAGCCCGCCGCUGCUGGACUCUCCCCUGUAUGUAAGCCCCCAGUAAAACCCCAUGUCUCAUUUGCUGGCUCUGGGUCUCUUUUUUGGCCUCUUGAACCUGGUGCCAUCCCCACUGGAGUUGAUAGGGGUUUGGCACAACAUGAGGGAGGCACAUUUUAUCUUGAGGGUCUGAGUUCUCUGCAUUGCCUUCAAACAAGCGAGGGAGGUGGGGGUGCUAGCUCUUAAGAGGAGAAGGGCACAACUUCUGAAUGCUCAGAGGAUUUAGAGGAGUCUGGGAGUUCAAAAUAUACCCACAUGUCCCCAUCCUAAGUGCCAGAGUUCUACUAACCUUAGCGUAUUGGACCUAUCGUGGUCAUUUAAUUUUCUCUGGAGCUUGAUGGCUGUAUUAAUUCCCAGCUCAGGUCUUCAGCUUUUUCUGCCUUCUUGCUGUAGGAAUUGAAAGCCUCUUUGUAAGCUUUCACAUUUGGCUUUCAUUGCCUGUUAAAUGCCUGCAGCUUUUUAUUGUCUUUUUCUAACAUAUCCAUGAAUUUAGCAAUAGUCACUCAAUUCCAUUAUAGUCACUCGAUUUCCAUAAUAGAAACAGUUAGUUUCUCCUAUACCUCCCAAAUGCUGAAUACAUUGAACCAGCUAGUGAAUUCCCCUCCAUGUCUAAAAAAACCCUAAUUCAUCACGGGUAAGAGGUUUUUGGUUUUUUUUCUUUUGAGACGGAGCGUCACUCUGCUGCCCAGGCUGGAGUGCAGUCGCGUGAUCUCAGCUCACUGCAACUUCUGCCUCCUGGGUUCAAGCGAUUCUCCUGCCUCAGCCCCCUGAGUAGCUGGGAUUACAGGCAUGCACCACCAGCACGCCCAGUUAGUUUUUGUAUUUUUAGUAGAGAAAGGAUUUCACCAUGUUGGCCAGGCUGGUCUCAAACUUGUGACCUCAGGUGAACCACCUGCCUAGGCCUCCCAAAGUGCUGGGAUUACAAGUGUGAACCACCGCACCCAGCCACUGGUAAGAGUUUUAACAACCUUGUGCCAGGUGUUGUCUCUGCUCCUUCUAUCACCAGUGAUGAGUUCCUUAUGGCCAACAAGGUGGUGAGUGAUCCAGGUUUAAAAUCCCAUCUUACCACCUGCAUUUUUGGGUCAUUCCUGGCACCAAUUCCUUAGAAGGAAGAAACACUGAACAGAGGGAAAGCCUGAAAGCUAUAUAGGUCUGACAAAGCUUCAGCCAAUCCAUGGGGACCUCUGGAACAUACAUAACCCAUCAGUGUUUCCCAUGGUGGGCCAAAAUGGCCAAACUUUUAUACCCAUGCCUUGCUCAGUCACCUCACAUGAGCUGCUCCAAGAACGGCAAGGCCUUGGGUAAAGCAGCUCGCUAAGCAACUAGGGCAAAUCCUAAAGGAGAUGACAGCUAGAAUUUGUCUGCUGGCAACACCCUCAUCAAUUAGGGCAACUAGUCCUCCUUGAAGAGGGAUAUAGUGCAGCAUAUUCGGGUCUACCGCAGAUAACAUGCCAGUCAUUUUAUACACAUCAUCUCAUUUAAUCCUUACAACAACUAUCAGACAUCCAUAGUACAGAUAAGGAAAUUGAAGCUCAAAGAAGCUAAAGAACUUUCCCCAAUAAUUAGCUUCCAGAACAGGUAUUAGAACCUAUGUCCAUCUUAUUUCAUACAUUAAUGUAGAUUUCUGAAGAAUAUCUAAUAGAGUGCUUGAAGAAGAAAAGGGUAAUGUACCGAUCAGGCUCACAACAGAAAAUAGCACAAUUAGGAUAAUUCAAGGAUGCGUUUUUUCGGGUUUUGCUUUGUUUUUCACAAAGGGAUGAUUUUUUUUUCUUUGAGAUGGAGUCUAGCUCUGUCACUAGGCUGGAGUGCAGUGGCACGAUCUCAGCUCACUGCAACCUCUGCCUCCUGGGUUUCAGCGAUUUUCCUGCCUCAUCCUCCCGAGUAGCUGGGACUACAGGUGUGCGCCACCAUGCUCAGCUAAUUUUUGUAUUUUUAGUAGAGACACGGUUUCACCAUGUUGGCCAGGAUGGUCUCAAUCUCUUGACCUUGUGAUCCACCUCUUGACCUCGUGAUCUGCCUGCCUCAGCCUCCCAAAGUGUUGGGAUCACAGGCGUGAGCCACCACACCUGGCCAGGGAUGAUUUUAAAGUGUCAUGUUCUAACUGAGGUCUGAGGGGAGUUGGUGGACCAGUGGCGGGCAGCUGAAAGAACACUCAAGGAAUCAUAUAGGGAUUUUCGACAUGGCUUUUUCUCUCUGGGCACAAGUGAGCUUGGGCACAAGCCAUGGGUACAAGUGGUGGGCGCAAGCUGUAUGUAUAGCAUCAGCUGGAUAGUUACACCUUUUACAGACAAUAAUGGCUCUGAGCCAAGCAAGAGCACACCUGGUUACCUAAUGUGCCUCACAUGGCAUGGUUACAUAACGUGCAGAGUUGUGCACCUGUGCUCCAAACCUGCUGAGUCAUGCUGUGCUGGAAGGCCACUUCAGCCUAUUCCUGACUAAAGCAGAACCAUUACCCUUAUACUCCACCCCCAGGCCAAGGCCAUCCUCCAGGAAGGGACAAGUGCCCAGAGACUGGACCCUUAUACUCCACCCCCUAGGCCAAGGCCAUCCUCCAGGCAGGGACACAUGCCCAGAGACUGGAGCCCUGAAUCCAUAACCCACAACAACCACACGGAGAGCAAUAGCUCACUACUAGGAUCCCAGCUAUGCUACUUUUGACUAUUAGGGCCCAGCAUAGGCUAGAGCCCAGGGAUGCCCACCCUGCAGGGGGUUGUCAGUAAGGCUCCUGACUACCUUAAUCUCCCGUGAGACUCCUUGCAGGGCUGCUGUUAUGUUCUGCCAAUUGUCAGGGAUAAAGGUACCACACUGUGUUCCUAAAAGAGCACAGGUGCCUCCUUGGACAGCAGUCAUUAAGUCUAAGGCCAUUCAGUUUUGCAACACCACCUUUCUGAUCUGAUCAACCUCAUCUGUUAACAGGAGGAGAGCCACUUGGGUGUGAUUCAGAGCCCAAGCGGUGUGCUCUGCAAGAGCAGUAACUUGUGCUUCUACAGUUAUGACACCCGCUCCAAGAACAGUCAUUGCCAAGGGGUAGAACCACCAGGGGGCUUGUUGCACUGGCAAAAACUGAGAAUGUAGUGCCUCCCCAUUAUUGGGAUGGGCAUCUGGGGAGAACAGUGGCAGGUACAUAAGGCCACCCCUAGGUACAAUAUUCAGUCCAGUCCACUGGUAGGUAAGGACACCCUGUGUCACCACAGACCCAUAAACUCCCAGGGGGCACAAAAUCCAUCGGGGCCUGAUCUUGUCUACUUGCUACCUGGUUAAGGGCACUCGCUGUAUCACUACUUGCUGUGUAACACUGGGUAGCGGUCUCCAUUUAGGGUAUGCCUGAGCACAUGCUGGGCAUUUCUGACAAGCCUCCCAAAUAUCUUGCAUGGGCAGGGACAGACCCCAACACUUAUUGACCUGUUGCAUUAGUUUAACCCCAGUUUCCAGUGUAGCCACAAGGCCACAUCUCAAGUAGGUGCUGUCUCUAACCAUCAGACCUUGGCCAAAGCAUCUGUCUCAUCAUUGCCAGGGGUGGCCAAAGGCAUAUGGCCUGACAGAUGAUAGUUACCUCUUUCUGAUGACCCAUUUCCCAGAGGUCUUGCCACAUUGCUUAGCCCCAUAUGGUUCACUGGCCAACUAGCCACUUCUGUAUUUUCCAGGUAGUUAACCACAAGGUUAAGCCUCGAUAGACCUCCCAGCUAUUGGUAAAGAUUAUCACAGGUGUCACCUCCUUGGUGAUCACCAUCCAUACUGCUCUAAGUUCAGCCCAUGGACUACUCUGUCCACAUCCAGUUUCAAAUCACAUGGUGUCAGUACUAGGUUGGACCGCAAGAGUGGUCCAGGCAGCAGUAUCAUACCCCACUGGGUAUGGGGGGACCCAUCUGUGUAUCAUACCCAUCUGUGUAUCAUACCCCAUUGGGAAUAGGGGGACGCCCUUCCUUAAAUGGUGAAGGUUCAGGGUCUAAAGGUGCCUCAGGCCCCAUGGCCUUGUCUUGCAUUAGGACUACAGGUCCCAAGAUCUCUUGCAACUCUACUGCUAAGGGACUUGUGCUCAGCGUACGCCACUGCUCCAAGUAGGCACCCCACUUUGCCAAAGUGGAUGUCUGCACCGCCCCGUUUGGGAGGCUGUUAUCCAUGAACUCAUCCAUCCCGCUCUCGGAUGCAGCAGACUGAGAAUACUGGGACCCUGAUCACUCUCACUCCACCUUGCUGAUAGAGAGGAGGUUCCAUUCAGGAAGCAGCAAGCCUAGAAGAUGAGAGGCUAUCACCUCCACCAAGAGUCUGAAGCCAUGGCUUAGAGAUUUUGCCCAGGAGAAGAGGCAGUCUAUAAGAACAGAAAUCUCUGAAGCUCUUUCCAAAGGGACUGGCUUUACUUGAAACAAAGUGUGAGAAGUUCAAGUCUAGCGUGCUCUUGACAACAACAAAAAUUUGGGGGGGAAGCAAUUAAGAGGAGGCUGGUAAUUCUUGAUAGCAACAAGCUAAGCCAUAGGCCUGCUAUUUUAUUUGAGAGAAACAGGGAAACAGCAAAAAGAGACUUCCUGGGGUUUGAACAAACCUCAAAGACUAGCUUCAAAAUCUACUCCUGCAGAGAUCUGGAUUUCAUUAAAUCAGACUGUAGCACCAUUUAUGCUUCAGGGCAUAAGUGAGCAAUCAGCCAGCAACUGGUAGAGCCUAAAAGCUGGGUGUGAUACCAAAUGAGGCAGACAGUUUAACAGGUCAGGGAAAGAGACAGAGUCUUGCUAAAACCCCUGUUAUUCAAGGGUAACUGGGCACAGACCUAAGUCUGUAUUCUUUGAGGAGUGGCACUAGAGGCUUCACACUGUGGGGGAAUUAGACUUCACUAAAAUAUUCCAGCCAAAUCACUAAGCAAACAACAAAAACAAGCCCCACAGAGGGAGAAGGGUAUCAGUGCCUACAGCAGUAUGUAACUGAAAGCAUCUAGUUUUCACCAAAAAAUUAUGAGACAUGCAGAGAAACAGAAAAGUGUGAUCAGCCCACAGGGAAAAUUUAGGCAACAGGAGCUGCCUGUGAGAGGGCUCUGAUGUCAGAUUUAAUAAAGACUUCAAAGCAACCAUUAUGUUCAUGCAUUCAGUGUUCAAAGAUCUCAAAGAAAAAUAAACAUGCUUAAAGUAGUAAAGAAAGAUAUGAUGAUUGUCAGGCCUCUGAGCCCAAGCUAAGCCAUCAUAUCCCCUGUGACCUGCAUGUAUACAUCCAGAUGGCCUGAAGCAAGUGAAGAAUCACAAAAGAAGUGAAAAUGGCUAGUUCCUGCCUAAACUGAUGACAUUCCACCAUUGUGAUUUGUUUCUGCCCCACCUUAACUGAGCGAUUAACCUUGUGAAAUUCCUUCUCCUGGCUCAGAAGCUCCCCCACUGAGCACCUUGUGACCCCCACCCUUGCCCACAAGAGAGCAACCCCCUUUGACUGUAAUUUUCCACUACCCACCCAAAUCCUAUAAAACGGCCCCACCCCUAUCUCCCUUCGCUGACUGUUUUUGGACUCAAGCCACCUGCACCCAGGUGAAAUAAACAGCCCUGUUACUCACACAAAUCCUGUUUGGUGGUCUCUUCACACGGAUGCGCGUGACAAUGAUAAUGUUGCAUCCAAUGAAAAAUGUCAAUAAGGAGAUAGAAAAAAAUAACAAAAUGGAAGUUCUGGAAGUGAAAAAUAUAAUAACUAAAAUGAAAAAUUCACUAGAGUAGCUCAACAGUAGGUCUAAACUGGCAGAAGAGAGAAUCAGCAAACUUGAAGAUAGAUCAAUAGAGAUUAUGCAAUCUGAAGAACAGAGAGAAAGAAGAAUUAAAAAAAAUGAACAGCCUCAGAGAAUGUGGGUUGUCAUUAAGUGCAUUAAGUGAUGGUAGUUUCAAAAGC